This 376-nucleotide unclassified non-coding RNA is filed under the name uncultured bacterium. RNAcentral describes it as "contains 16S-23S intergenic spacer region". The record is from RNAcentral.
UCUCGGCUUGUCACCGGCAGUCCCCUUAGAGUGCCCAACUUAAUGCUGGCAACUAAGGGCGAGGGUUGCGCUCGUUGCGGGACUUAACCCAACAUCUCACGACACGAGCUGACGACAGCCAUGCAGCGCCUGUGUUCCCGUUCCCUUUCGGGCACAGCCGGGUUUCCCCAGCCUCCAGGACAUGUCAAGGGUAGGUAAGGUUUUUCGCGUUGCAUCGAAUUAAUCCACAUAAUCCACCGCUUGUGCGGGUCCCCGUCAAUUUCUUUGAGUUUCACCGUUGCCGGCGUACUCCCCAGGUGGAUUACUUAUCGCUUUCGCUAAGCCACUAAAAGUUGCCCUCUAGCAGCGAGUAAUCAUCGUUUACAGUGCGGACUAC